UCAAAAACCCCGGGGACUGAGGACCCUUGUUUAAUCCACAAAACAGGUAGAGCAUGGGCAACAGCAGUGCAAGAUUCUUCACUAAUGGCCUGUUCCACAGCCUCUUGAAGUCAAUGGAAAGAUGCCAACUGAUUUCAAUGGACCUGUAUCUGGCCCUUAAUGUACCUGAAGCUUGCCAUGG
Molecule: small RNA, 181 nt
Filed under: Chelonoidis abingdonii (Abingdon island giant tortoise)
Lineage: Eukaryota; Metazoa; Chordata; Testudines; Testudinidae
Description: TUC338 (ENSCABG00000007039.1)
Source: RNAcentral